RNAcentral lists this ribosomal RNA (428 nucleotides) under uncultured bacterium. RNAcentral describes it as "partial 16S ribosomal RNA". It matches the Rfam family "Bacterial small subunit ribosomal RNA", at positions 354 to 796 of the family's 1533-position model. The record is from RNAcentral.
GUGGGGAAUAUUGGGCAAUGGGCGAAAGCCUGACCCAGCAACGCCGCGUGAAGGAAGAAGGCUUUCGGGUUGUAAACUUCUUUUGUCAGGGACGAAAAAAAUGACGGUACCUGACGAAUAAGCCACGGCUAACUACGUGCCAGCAGCCGCGGUAAUACGUAGGUGGCAAGCGUUAUCCGGAUUUACUGGGUGUAAAGGGCGUGUAGGCGGGAAAGCAAGUCAGAUGUGAAAACUAUGGGCUCAACCCAUAGCCUGCAUUUGAAACUGUUGUUCUUGAGUGUCGGAGAGGUAAUCGGAAUUCCGUGUGUAGCGGUGAAAUGCGUAGAUAUACGGAGGAACACCAGUGGCGAAGGCGGAUUACUGGACGAUAACUGACGCUGAGGCGCGAAAGCGUGGGGAGCAAACAGGAUUAGAUACCCCGGUAGUCC